UAUUCAACCAGGCCCACGCGACGUACAGACCCACCACAAAUACAAUGUUCCUCUGUCCACUAGGACAGAGUCUUCUUUGUAUUUGCACGGCGUACCGGCAAUAACAUCAGGACCUCAACCACAAUUUACAUUCACCAAUCAACAACCAAUAUAUGCGAUGCAUUCACAUACAGCUAGCAAUCCUUAGAGAUGAUGCAUGCCUCUAAACACUCCUUAGGCACUGGAUGAUGCGAUGCACAGUACAACAAGCAUCCUAUUUAAAAGUGCUCCCCACCCGGAAGCUUUGUUUUUAAAAUUUAUAUAAUCAUCCAUAAAACCAUUCGAAAACCUUUUUUAAAUUUUUUCCCACUCGGAAACUCUAUUUUGAAAACCGACUAUCUCGAGGGUAGAAAACCACAGAGUAUAAAUACAUAAUUCCAAAACCGAAGAUCCAUACACUCCAAUCGUAUGCAUAAUAGGAAAACCAAUUCAAAUAAUUCACAAAUAUUCAAACAUCAAUAAUAAUCAUCUAACUGAAGCAUUCAUUAUUAAAACUACU
RNAcentral lists this long non-coding RNA (538 nucleotides) under Ananas comosus (pineapple). Its description in RNAcentral is "long non-coding RNA (ACOM_LNC026828)". The record is from RNAcentral. Lineage: Eukaryota; Viridiplantae; Streptophyta; Magnoliopsida; Poales; Bromeliaceae.